GCUUAUUGCGCGGCGAAAAACCUUUACACACAGUGUUUUUUGUUAUUACAAGAACUUUUGCUUUGGUCUGGACUAGAAAUAGUUUGGGCCAGAGGUUUACUGAACUAAACUUCAAUAUUUAUAUUGAAUUGUUAUUUAUUUAAUUGUCAAUUUGUUGAUUAAAUUCAAAAAAUCUUCAAAACUUUCAACAACGGAUCUCUUGGUUCUCGCAUCGAUGAAGAACGCAGCGAAAUGCGAUAAGUAAUAUGAAUUGCAGAUUUUCGUGAAUCAUCGAAUCUUUGAACGCACAUUGCGCCCUCUGGUAUUCCAGAGGGCAUGCCUGUUUGAGCGUCAUUUCUCUCUCAAACCUUCGGGUUUGGUAUUGAGUGAUACUCUUAGUCGAACUAGGCGUUUGCUUGAAAUGUAUUGGCAUGAGUGGUACUGGAUAGUGCUAUAUGACUUUCAAUGUAUUAGGUUUAUCCAACUCGUUGAAUAGUUUAAUGGUAUAUUUCUCGGUAUUCUAGGCUCGGCCUUACAAUAUAACAAACAAGUUUGACCUCAAAUCAGGUAGGAUUACCCGCUGAGCUUAAGCAUAUC
Molecule: ribosomal RNA, 576 nt
Filed under: Debaryomyces sp. S532Y20
Lineage: Eukaryota; Fungi; Ascomycota; Pichiomycetes; Serinales; Debaryomycetaceae
Description: eukaryotic LSU rRNA
Rfam family: 5.8S ribosomal RNA (bases 180-333)
Source: RNAcentral